RNAcentral lists this ribosomal RNA (200 nucleotides) under uncultured archaeon. Its description in RNAcentral is "partial 16S ribosomal RNA". It matches the Rfam family "Archaeal small subunit ribosomal RNA", at positions 528 to 727 of the family's 1478-position model. The record is from RNAcentral.
GCCGCGCAAGUCCGUCGGGAAAUCCGCUCGCUCAACGGGCGGCCGUCCGGCGGAAACUGCGUGGCUUGGGACCGGGAGGCCUGAGGGGUACGAUCGGGGUAUGAGUGAAAUCCUGUAAUCCCGCUCGGACCGCCGAUGGGGAAACCACCUCAGGAACACGGAUCCGACAGUGAGGGACGAAAGCCAGGCUCUCGAACCGG